UACAGAGGGGGCAAGCGUUAUUCGGAAUUAUUGGGCGUAAAGGGCGCGUAGGCGGCCUGGCAAGUGGAAGGUGAAAUCGCCCGGCUCAACUGGGCGGGGUCAGCGGAUACGGCAGAGCUUGAGCAAGCUAGGGGGCAAUGGAAUUCCCGGUGUAGUGGUGGAAUGCGUAGAUAUCGGGAGGAACACCAGUGGCGAAGGCGGUUGCCUGGGGCUUUGCUGACGCUGAUGCGCGAAAGCGUGGGGAGCGAUCCGG
This 253-nucleotide ribosomal RNA is filed under the name uncultured bacterium. RNAcentral's name for it is "partial 16S ribosomal RNA". It matches the Rfam family "Bacterial small subunit ribosomal RNA", at positions 524 to 776 of the family's 1533-position model. The record is from RNAcentral.